GCCAGGCGCGGUGGCUCACGCCUGUAAUCCCAGCACUUUGGGAGGCUGAGGCGGGUGGAUAACCUGAGGUCAGGAGUUUGCGACCAGCCUGAUCAAAAUGGAGAAACCUUGUCUCUAUGAAAAAUACAAAAUUAGCUGGGCAUGGUGGCACAUGCAUGUAAUCCCAGCACUUUGGGAGGCUGAGGCGGGUAGAUAACCUGAGGUCAGGAGUUCGCGACCAGCCUGACCAAAAUGGAGAAACCUUGUCUCU
Gorilla gorilla gorilla (western lowland gorilla) is the source of this 250-nucleotide unclassified non-coding RNA. It matches the Rfam family "Metazoan signal recognition particle RNA". From Rfam's summary of the family: The signal recognition particle (SRP) is a universally conserved ribonucleoprotein. NCBI's taxonomy places the organism in Eukaryota, Metazoa, Chordata, Mammalia, Primates, Hominidae. The record is from Ensembl.